UGAACGCUGGCGGCAGGCCUAACACAUGCAAGUCGAGCGGUAGAGAGAAGCUUGCUUCUCUUGAGAGCGGCGGACGGGUGAGUAAUGCCUAGGAAUCUGCCUGGUAGUGGGGGAUAACGUUCGGAAACGGACGCUAAUACCGCAUACGUCCUACGGGAGAAAGCAGGGGACCUUCGGGCCUUGCGCUAUCAGAUGAGCCUAGGUCGGAUUAGCUAGUUGGUGGGGUAAUGGCUCACCAAGGCGACGAUCCGUAACUGGUCUGAGAGGAUGAUCAGUCACACUGGAACUGAGACACGGUCCAGACUCCUACGGGAGGCAGCAGUGGGGAAUAUUGGACAAUGGGCGAAAGCCUGAUCCAGCCAUGCCGCGUGUGUGAAGAAGGUCUUCGGAUUGUAAAGCACUUUAAGUUGGGAGGAAGGGCAGUAAAUUAAUACUUUGCUGUUUUGACGUUACCGACAGAAUAAGCACCGGCUAACUCUGU
This 481-nucleotide ribosomal RNA is filed under the name uncultured bacterium. RNAcentral's name for it is "partial 16S ribosomal RNA". It matches the Rfam family "Bacterial small subunit ribosomal RNA", at positions 30 to 506 of the family's 1533-position model. The record is from RNAcentral.